CCCUUAGAUGUUCUGGGCGGCCCGCGCACUACAAUGGCGCUUUCAGCGAGUUCCUAUGUUGAAUUUUCCUGGGUAUUCUUGGAAGCGGCGUCUUGACUUGGGAUAGGUCCUUGUAAUUGUUGGUUUUGAACGAGGAAUUCCUUGUAAUCGCGGUUGAUCAGCUCGCGUUGAAUACGUCCCUGCCCUUUGUACACACCGCCCGUCGCUCCUACCGAUGAAUCGUCCGGUGAAGUUCACAGAGUGGCGGUUCGUGGAGUUGCUCGCGAAGUGAAAUGGACCUCACGAUUUAGAGGAAGGAGAAGUCGUAACA
This 310-nucleotide ribosomal RNA is filed under the name uncultured eukaryote. Its description in RNAcentral is "partial 18S ribosomal RNA". It matches the Rfam family "Eukaryotic small subunit ribosomal RNA", at positions 1470 to 1796 of the family's 1831-position model. The record is from RNAcentral.